GAUGAACGCUGGCGGCGUGCCUAAUACAUGCAAGUCGAGCGAACAGAUAAGGAGCUUGCUCCUUUGACGUUAGCGGCGGACGGGUGAGUAACACGUGGGUAACCUACCUAUAAGACUGGGAUAACUUCGGGAAACCGGAGCUAAUACCGGAUAAUAUUUCGAACCGCAUGGUUCGAUAGUGAAAGAUGGUUUUGCUAUCACUUAUAGAUGGACCCGCGCCGUAUUAGCUAGUUGGUAAGGUAACGGCUUACCAAGGCGACGAUACGUAGCCGACCUGAGAGGGUGAUCGGCCGCACUGGAACUGGGCCACGGUCCAGACUCCUGCGGGAGGCAGCAGUAGGGAACGUUCCGCAGUGGGCGAAAGCAUGACGGAGCAAGGGCGCGUGAGAGAUGGAGAUGUCCGGAUCGUAAAACUCUGUUAUUAGGGAAGAACAUACGUGUAAGUAACUGUGCACGUCUUGACGGUACCUAAUCAGAAAGCCACGGCUAACUACGUG
This 497-nucleotide ribosomal RNA is filed under the name uncultured bacterium. RNAcentral's name for it is "partial 16S ribosomal RNA". It matches the Rfam family "Bacterial small subunit ribosomal RNA", at positions 28 to 507 of the family's 1533-position model. The record is from RNAcentral.